UACGUAGGGUGCAAGCGUUAAUCGGAAUUACUGGGCGUAAAGUGUGCGCAGGUGGCCGCGCAUGUCGAGUGUGAAAUCCCCGAGCUUAACUUGGGAAUUGCGCUUGAAACUACGUGGCUAGAGUGUGGCAGAGGGAGGUGGAAUUCCACGUGUAGCGGUGAAAUGCGUAGAGAUGUGGAGGAACACCAAUGGCGAAGGCAGCCUCCUGGGCCAACACUGACACUCAUGCACGAAAGCGUGGGGAGCAAACAGG
RNAcentral lists this ribosomal RNA (253 nucleotides) under uncultured beta proteobacterium. RNAcentral describes it as "partial 16S ribosomal RNA". It matches the Rfam family "Bacterial small subunit ribosomal RNA", at positions 524 to 776 of the family's 1533-position model. Lineage: Bacteria; Pseudomonadati; Pseudomonadota; Betaproteobacteria. The record is from RNAcentral.